GAUGAACGCUGGCGGCGUGCCUAAUACAUGCAAGUCGAGCGAAGCGGGGACGGGUGAGUAACACGUGGAUAACCUCCUAUAAGACUGGGAUAACUUCGGGAAACCGGAUCUAAACCGGAUACUUCUAGUAGGAUCCUCGCUGCAUUAGCUAGUUUGUAAGGUAACGGCUUCCCAAGUCAACAAUGCAUAGCCGACCUGAGAGGGUGAUCGGCAACACUGGAACUGAGACACGGUCCAGACUCCUACGGGAGGCAGCAGUAGGGAAUCUUACGCAAUGGGCGAAAGCCUGACGGGGCAACGCCGCGUGAGUGAUGAAGGUCUUCGGAUCGUAAAACUCUGUUAUUAGGGAAGCGGUACCUAAUCAGAAAGCCACGGCUAACUACGUGCCAGCAGCCGCGGUAAUUC
Molecule: ribosomal RNA, 405 nt
Filed under: uncultured bacterium
Lineage: Bacteria
Description: partial 16S ribosomal RNA
Rfam family: Bacterial small subunit ribosomal RNA
Source: RNAcentral